AUUGAACGCUGGCGGCAGGCCUAACACAUGCAAGUCGAGCGGAUGAAGGGAGCUUGCUCCUGGAUUCAGCGGCGGACGGGUGAGUAAUGCCUAGGAAUCUGCCUGGUAGUGGGGGAUAACGUCCGGAAACGGGCGCUAAUACCGCAUACGUCCUGAGGGAGAAAGUGGGGGAUCUUCGGACCUCACGCUAUCAGAUGAGCCUAGGUCGGAUUAGCUAGUUGGUGGGGUAAAGGCCUACCAAGGCGACGAUCCGUAACUGGUCUGAGAGGAUGAUCAGUCACACUGGAACUGAGACACGGUCCAGACUCCUACGGGAGGCAGCAGUGGGGAAUAUUGGACAAUGGGCGAAAGCCUGAUCCAGCCACGCCGCGUGUGUGAGGAAGGUCUUCGGAUUGUAAAGCACUUUAAGUUGGGAGGAAGGGCAGUAAGUUAAUACCUUGCUGUUUUGACGUUACCAACAGAAUAAGCACCGGCUAACUUCGUG
Molecule: ribosomal RNA, 484 nt
Filed under: uncultured bacterium
Lineage: Bacteria
Description: partial 16S ribosomal RNA
Rfam family: Bacterial small subunit ribosomal RNA
Source: RNAcentral